AGGCUUGAUCUUCUUAUCGAAUGCUUUCUUCACUCUCUGCUGAUAUAACUUGACCAUGACACAUGGCAGUUGAUCUUUUCGUUCUUUCCGUCGAAUUCAGCAUUAGUCAACUUGGGACUUUAAGGGUGCUAUUUUUCUUUUAUUUCUUUCUUUCUCUUUCUUUUGAUUUCUUUUGAUUUUGAUUGAUUUCUUUUUUUUUUUGAUUUUGCACCCUCCUCUUUCUUUUUUCUUUUUUUUCUUUUUUUUUUCUCUUUUUUUUUGAUAAUGCCCCAGUUGGCUGUUCUGCUGAUUCUCGAGAUGCAGCUGAGUGUGAUCUUCUUUUCUCGCUCAAGAAGUCGGGAAAUCUCGUCAGGAAUCCCUUCAACAUCAUCUUCGUCCGCUUCGAAUACAGGGAAUUCAAAAUUGGGAGAUGACGUCCGAUCAUUAUGUUCAAUGGGUUUGAGAAACAACCUGCAUAAAGAUUUUGAUAUGAA
RNAcentral lists this long non-coding RNA (473 nucleotides) under Lathyrus oleraceus (garden pea). RNAcentral's name for it is "Pisum sativum (pea) long non-coding RNA (PSAT_LNC014409)". Lineage: Eukaryota; Viridiplantae; Streptophyta; Magnoliopsida; Fabales; Fabaceae. The record is from RNAcentral.